GCCUGGGUGCCUCAGUCAGUUGAGCAUCUGGCUUUGGCCCAGGCCAUGAUCCCACAGUUCGUGGGUUCGAGCCCCACAUCAGGCU
This 85-nucleotide transfer RNA is filed under the name Felis catus (domestic cat). It matches the Rfam family "tRNA". Rfam says of the family: Transfer RNA (tRNA) molecules are approximately 80 nucleotides in length. The record is from Rfam by way of RNAcentral. Lineage: Eukaryota; Metazoa; Chordata; Mammalia; Carnivora; Felidae. RNAcentral also lists the same sequence under 3 other names.